Molecule: long non-coding RNA, 358 nt
Filed under: Lathyrus oleraceus (garden pea)
Lineage: Eukaryota; Viridiplantae; Streptophyta; Magnoliopsida; Fabales; Fabaceae
Description: Pisum sativum (pea) long non-coding RNA (PSAT_LNC041105)
Source: RNAcentral
GAAUAGCAACCUUUAAGUUUGGGGUAGCUUUGCAGUAAGUGAAUGUAGUAAAAAAAAAAAAAGCAAAAGCUUGUGAUCCGAAAAAAAAAAAAAGAAAAAGAAAAGCGAAAAACAAUAAAAGAACAGCUUUUGAAAAAUGCUACAUUCACUAUAGAUAAAAGGAAAAGAGGAAUACAAAACCCAACAGGAAGAAUAGGAAAGAAACGUAGUGAGAGAAUGAUUUCAUGUACUCUGAACCAAAAACCUUUGUUCCAAUUUCAUACCCCACCUAAACCAAAGCCCCGUUACAACCCAAGACCUCAAAAAGUGUGUGUGAUUGUACAUGUUGAUAGGAUGAGAGAAUUUAUUCAAACUUCUG